RNAcentral lists this ribosomal RNA (245 nucleotides) under uncultured bacterium. RNAcentral's name for it is "partial small subunit ribosomal RNA". It matches the Rfam family "Bacterial small subunit ribosomal RNA", at positions 26 to 285 of the family's 1533-position model. The record is from RNAcentral.
AGAAUCAACGCUGGCGGCGUGCCUAACACAUGCAAGUCGUACGAGAAAGUGGAGCAAUCCAUGAGUACAGUGGCGACCGGGUGAGUAACACGUGACUAACCUACCCUCGAGUGGGGAAUAACUCCGGGAAACCGGAGCUAAUACCGCAUAAUAUCGCGAGAUCAAAGCAGCAAUGCGCUUGAGGAGGGGGUCGCGGCUGAUUAGCUAGUUGGCGGGGUAACGGCCCACCAAGGCGAAGAUCGGUA